CACCCCUCUUCCUCCCCGGGGCCUUCCACCUCCGCGAGUUUUAUGACUUAAAAAAGCCCACAGGCUGGUCUGAAGAGGAAGACAAACAUAAAGAUGAAGUGCUUAAUUCAAGGUCACACAAUGUCGGGGAUGGACCUCCAGAUUUCCUUACUGGAAAACAAGCUCAGGGCUCCCACUGAUUGUACAUUAUGACCAAGUGUGUUGGGGACUUGAGAUGCGUACAUGAGUGUGAUGUUUCCUGCUGAAAGCACAGGUGAGACGUGGUCUUGUAACACAGUGGUUAAGAAUGUGACUUUGGAGCCAGCCUGCUAGGGGCUGAAUUCUGACUCAGCCAUUUACUAACUGUGUGACCUUAGGUCACAGAAUUUUCCACACUCCUUGACAGAGGUGCUUAACCCUUAUCCAUCAGCAUUCUCAGACAGCACCUCCGGUUAGGGACAGUAUCUGACCGUCCGACAUCCCUGCAGCCCCCAUGUGUCACACAGACUCAGCCUCAGGUAGAUGGUUUCCGUAGAUGGUGGCUUUCUUUGGACCCUUGACAUCAACCAGUUACUAUUUGGGGACCAGAUGUGCAGAGGUAAUGAAUACCAGGGAAUCAGGAAACCACUGGAUCAGUUCUUUGAGCCACAGAACAACACUCAUCCCAGCAGCUGGGAAGCUAUCUGC
Molecule: long non-coding RNA, 666 nt
Filed under: Homo sapiens (human)
Lineage: Eukaryota; Metazoa; Chordata; Mammalia; Primates; Hominidae
Description: PCBP1 antisense RNA 1
Source: RNAcentral